Molecule: ribosomal RNA, 36 nt
Filed under: uncultured fungus
Lineage: Eukaryota; Fungi
Description: partial 5.8S ribosomal RNA
Source: RNAcentral
UAAAACUUUCAACAACGGAUCUCUUGGUUCUGGCAU